RNAcentral lists this ribosomal RNA (403 nucleotides) under uncultured bacterium. Its description in RNAcentral is "partial 16S ribosomal RNA". It matches the Rfam family "Bacterial small subunit ribosomal RNA", at positions 30 to 526 of the family's 1533-position model. The record is from RNAcentral.
AUUGAACGCUGGCGGCAGGCCCAACACAUGCAAGUCGAGCGAGCGGCGGACGGGUGAGUAAUGUAUGGGGACUGCCCGAUAGAGGGGGAUAACUACUGGAAACGGUGGCUAAUACCGCAUACUAUCGGAUAACCCAUAUGGGAUUAGCUCGUAGGCGGGGUAACGGCGCACCUAGGCGACGAUCUCUAGCUGGUCUGAGCGGAUGAUCAGCCAAACUGGGAAUGAGACACGGCCCAGACUCCUACGGAGGCAGCAGUGGGGAAUAUUGCACAAGUGGCGCAAGCCUGAUGCAGCCAUGCCGCGUGUAUGAAGAAGGCCUGAGGGUUGUAAAGUACUUUCAGCGGGUAGGCGUUACCCGCAGAAGAGGCACCGGCUAACUCCGUGCCAGCAGCCGCGGUAAUUC